CGCGCGAUACAGGGUGACAGCCCCGUACACAAAAAUGCACAUGCUGUGAGCUCGAUGAGUAGGGCGGGACACGUGGUAUCCUGUCUGAAUAUGGGGGGACCAUCCUCCAAGGCUAAAUACUCCUGACUGACCGAUAGUGAACCAGUACCGUGAGGGAAAGGCGAAAAGAACCCCGGCGAGGGGAGUGAAAAAGAACCUGAAACCGUGUACGUACAAGCAGUGGGAGCACAGAGCAAUCUGUGUGACUGCGUACCUUUUGUAUAAUGGGUCAGCGACUUAUAUUCUGUAGCAAGGUUAACCGAAUAGGGGAGCC
This 313-nucleotide ribosomal RNA is filed under the name Escherichia coli. RNAcentral's name for it is "partial 23S ribosomal RNA". It matches the Rfam family "Bacterial large subunit ribosomal RNA", at positions 351 to 667 of the family's 2925-position model. The record is from RNAcentral. Lineage: Bacteria; Pseudomonadati; Pseudomonadota; Gammaproteobacteria; Enterobacterales; Enterobacteriaceae.